Molecule: small RNA, 929 nt
Filed under: Pan troglodytes (chimpanzee)
Lineage: Eukaryota; Metazoa; Chordata; Mammalia; Primates; Hominidae
Description: retained intron
Source: RNAcentral
GCUUGGUCACUAUGGAGGAGAUAGGCAUCUUGGUGGAGAAGGCUCAGGAUGAGAUCCCAGCACUGUCCGUGUCCCGGCCCCAGACCGGCCUGUCCUUCCUGGGCCCUGAGCCUGAGGACCUGGAGGACCUGUACAGCCGCUACAAGAAGCUGCAGCAAGAGCUGGAGUUCCUGGAGGUGCAGGAGGAAUACAUCAAAGAUGAGCAAAAGAACCUGAAAAAGGAAUUUCUCCAUGCCCAGGAGGAGGUGAAGCGAAUCCAAAGCAUCCCGCUGGUCAUCGGACAAUUUCUGGAGGCUGUGGAUCAGAAUACAGCCAUCGUGGGCUCUACCACAGGCUCCAACUAUUAUGUGCGCAUCCUGAGCACCAUCGAUCGGGAGCUGCUCAAGCCCAAUGCCUCAGUGGCCCUCCACAAGCACAGCAAUGCACUGGUGGACGUGCUGCCCCCCGAAGCCGACAGCAGCAUCAUGAUGCUCACCUCAGACCAGAAGCCAGAUGUGAUGUACGCGGACAUCGGAGGCAUGGACAUCCAGAAGCAGGAGGUGCGGGAGGCCGUGGAGCUCCCGCUCACGCAUUUCGAGCUCUACAAGCAGAUCGGCAUCGAUCCCCCCCGAGGCGUCCUCAUGUAUGGCCCACCUGGCUGCGGGAAGACCAUGUUGGCAAAGGCGGUGGCACAUCACACAACAGCUGCAUUCAUCCGGGUCGUGGGCUCGGAGUUUGUACAGAAGUAUCUAGGUGAGGGCCCCCGCAUGGUCCGGGAUGUGUUCCGCCUGGCCAAGGAGAAUGCACCUGCCAUCAUCUUCAUAGACGAGAUUGAUGCCAUUGCCACCAAGAGAUUCGAUGCUCAGACAGGGGGUAAGUGAUGCUGAAACAAGGCCCGGGGUCUUGGACAGGCUUGUUGCAUGGGAUGCCUGGGACUGACCGUGCUGUGC